UGCGUAGGCGGAAUAAUAAGUCAGUGGUGAAAUCCUGCGGCUCAACCGUAGAACUGCCAUUGAUACUGUUAUUCUUGAAUUUAGUUGAGGUAGGCGGAAUGUGUAAUGUAGCGGUGAAAUGCUUAGAUAUUACACAGAACACCGAUUGCGAAGGCAGCUUGCUAAACUAAUAUUGACGCUGAUGCACGAAAGCGUGGGGAGCGAACAGGAUUAGAUACCCUGGUAGUC
This 228-nucleotide ribosomal RNA is filed under the name uncultured bacterium. RNAcentral's name for it is "partial 16S ribosomal RNA". It matches the Rfam family "Bacterial small subunit ribosomal RNA", at positions 568 to 795 of the family's 1533-position model. The record is from RNAcentral.